Molecule: ribosomal RNA, 345 nt
Filed under: uncultured Streptococcus sp.
Lineage: Bacteria; Bacillati; Bacillota; Bacilli; Lactobacillales; Streptococcaceae
Description: bacterial SSU rRNA
Rfam family: Bacterial small subunit ribosomal RNA
Source: RNAcentral
CAGGUGGUGCAUGGUUGUCGUCAGCUCGUGUCGUGAGAUGUUGGUUAAGUCCCGCAACGAGCGCAACCCCUAUUGUUAGUUGCCAUCAUUCAGUUGGGCACUCUAGCGAGACUGCCGGUAAUAAACCGGAGGAAGGUGGGGAUGACGUCAAAUCAUCAUGCCCCUUAUGACCUGGGCUACACACGUGCUACAAUGGUUGGUACAACGAGUUGCGAGUCGGUGACGGCGAGCUAAUCUCUUAAAGCCAAUCUCAGUUCGGAUUGUAGGCUGCAACUCGCCUACAUGAAGUCGGAAUCGCUAGUAAUCGCGGAUCAGCACGCCGCGGUGAAUACGUUCCCGGGCCUU